GACGAAGGGGCUAGCGUUGUUCGGAAUUACUGGGCGUAAAGCGCGUGUAGGCGGUUUGCCAAGUUGGGUGUGAAAGCCUUGAGCUCAACUCAAGAAAUGCACUCAGUACUGGCAGACUAGAGGACCGGAGAGGAUAGUGGAAUUCCCAGUGUAGUGGUGAAAUACGUAGAGAUUGGGAAGAACACCAGUGGCGAAGGCGGCUAUCUGGACGGUUUCUGACGCUAAGACGCGAAAGCGUGUGGAGCGAACGGGAUUAGAUACCCUGGUAGU
RNAcentral lists this ribosomal RNA (270 nucleotides) under uncultured prokaryote. RNAcentral's name for it is "partial 16S ribosomal RNA". It matches the Rfam family "Bacterial small subunit ribosomal RNA", at positions 524 to 794 of the family's 1533-position model. The record is from RNAcentral.